RNAcentral lists this ribosomal RNA (541 nucleotides) under Clostridioides difficile. RNAcentral describes it as "bacterial SSU rRNA". It matches the Rfam family "Bacterial small subunit ribosomal RNA", at positions 296 to 856 of the family's 1533-position model. Lineage: Bacteria; Bacillati; Bacillota; Clostridia; Peptostreptococcales; Peptostreptococcaceae. The record is from RNAcentral.
GAGGGUGAUCGGCCACAUUGGAACUGAGACACGGUCCAAACUCCUACGGGAGGCAGCAGUGGGGAAUAUUGCACAAUGGGCGAAAGCCUGAUGCAGCAACGCCGCGUGAGUGAUGAAGGCCUUCGGGUCGUAAAACUCUGUCCUCAAGGAAGAUAAUGACGGUACUUGAGGAGGAAGCCCCGGCUAACUACGUGCCAGCAGCCGCGGUAAUACGUAGGGGGCUAGCGUUAUCCGGAUUUACUGGGCGUAAAGGGUGCGUAGGCGGUCUUUCAAGUCAGGAGUGAAAGGCUACGGCUCAACCGUAGUAAGCUCUUGAAACUGGGAGACUUGAGUGCAGGAGAGGAGAGUGGAAUUCCUAGUGUAGCGGUGAAAUGCGUAGAUAUUAGGAGGAACACCAGUUGCGAAGGCGGCUCUCUGGACUGUAACUGACGCUGAGGCACGAAAGCGUGGGGAGCAAACAGGAUUAGAUACCCUGGUAGUCCACGCUGUAAACGAUGAGUACUAGGUGUCGGGGGUUACCCCCUUCGGUGCCGCAGCUAAC